UGUUUUAUUAGUAUAAAAAGUACGUCUGCUUUCCAAGCAGAGGGUCUCUACAAGGAGAUAUUGCAA
This 66-nucleotide transfer RNA is filed under the name Postharmostomum commutatum. RNAcentral describes it as "tRNA-Gly". The record is from RNAcentral. Lineage: Eukaryota; Metazoa; Platyhelminthes; Trematoda; Diplostomida; Brachylaimidae.